Molecule: ribosomal RNA, 505 nt
Filed under: uncultured bacterium
Lineage: Bacteria
Description: partial 16S ribosomal RNA
Rfam family: Bacterial small subunit ribosomal RNA
Source: RNAcentral
GACGAACGCUGGCGGCGUGCCUAAUACAUGCAAGUAGAACGCACAGUUUAUACCGUAGCUUGCUACACCAUAGACUGUGAGUUGCGAACGGGUGAGUAACGCGUAGGUAACCUGCCUGGUAGCGGGGGAUAACUAUUGGAAACGCUAGCUAAUACCGCAUAAUAUUGAUUAUUGCAUGAUAAUUGAUUGAAAGAUGCUAUUGCAUCACUACCAGAUGGACCUGCGUUGUAUUAGCUAGUAGGUGAGGUAACGGCUCACCUAGGCGACGAUACAUAGCCGACCUGAGAGGGUGGUCGGCCAGACUGGGAGGGAGACAGGGCCCAGAGUGCUACGGGAGGCAGCAGUAGGGAAUCUUCGGCAAUAGACGAAAGUCUGACCGAGCAACGCCGAGUGAGUGAAGAAGGUUUUCGGAUCGGAAAGCUCUGUUGUAAGAGAAGAACGGGUGUGAGAGUGGAAAGUUCACACUGUGACGGUAUCUUACCAGAAAGGGACGGCUAACUACGUG